CCUACGGGCGACAGCAGUGGGGAAUAUUGCACAAUGGGGGAAACUCUGAUGCAGCGACGCCGCGUGAGUGAAGAAGUCUUUCUGUAUGUAAAGCUCUAUCAGCAGGGAAGAAAAUGACGGUACCUGAUUACGACGCCCCGGCUAACUACGUGCCAGCAGCCGCGGUAAUACGUAGGGGGCAAGCGUUAUCCGGAUUUACUGGGUGUAAAGGGAGCGUAGACGGCAGCGCAAGUCUGAAGUGAAAUUCCGGGGCUUAACCCCGGAACUGCUUUGGAAACUAUGAAGCUAGAGUGCAGGAGAGGUAAGUGGAAUUCCUAGUGUAGCGGUGAAAUGCGUAGAUAUUAGGAGGAACACCAGUGGCGAAGGCGGCUUACUAAACUGUAACUGACGUUGAGGCUCGAAAGCGUGGGGAGCAAACAGGAUUAGAUACCCUUGUAGUC
This 440-nucleotide ribosomal RNA is filed under the name uncultured bacterium. RNAcentral's name for it is "partial 16S ribosomal RNA". It matches the Rfam family "Bacterial small subunit ribosomal RNA", at positions 338 to 795 of the family's 1533-position model. The record is from RNAcentral.